RNAcentral lists this long non-coding RNA (1287 nucleotides) under Sarcophilus harrisii (Tasmanian devil). Its description in RNAcentral is "lncRNA (ENSSHAG00000031818.1)". Lineage: Eukaryota; Metazoa; Chordata; Mammalia; Dasyuromorphia; Dasyuridae. The record is from RNAcentral.
AUGCUCAGCGCUUGUCCUCAAGUGACCCCUCCCUCCUCCCUGCUCGGGGCCUGGGCAGGGAGAGCAGCGGCCGGGCACCGUCCCAGACCUGAGGGGGCCCGCAGAGCUGCCGCAGGGGCGAGGAGGACGGGGCAGGGGCUGCGGCCGCGGCCGCACGGAGGGCAGGGGGCCUUCCCCGUGGGCCGGCGCCCUCUGCAGACCCCUGAGGAGCCUGGCUCUCCCAAGCGCCCCGCUCCGGAGGGGAAGGGCGGGGGCCGCUCCCUGCUACACGCGGGCAAGCAUCGUGCCAGUCACACACACGAACCCCGGGGACGGCAGCCUUGGGUCCGCACACCGGCAGCGCGUCACCCACACACGCGCACACACACGCAGGGGACUAGCCUCCCCUCCCCCCAUCACGCAGUGACACGCUCAGGGACCGCAGGGGCUGCUCGAGCGGCGCCCCCUCCCCGACCUGGAGCGUCACGGCGAGCCCCGGGCCGCCCCCGCAGCCGCGCGCAGAGGAGCCCCCUCCCCGUCAGAGCCGCGCGCCCCCCCGCGCUUGCAGCCCCCCGCCCGCCGCACACGCUGCCCCGGCACACGCAUCGCUUGCAGCCCCCCGCCCGCCGCCAGACUCCCCGCCGCAGCGUGCGCGUGUGCCGGGGGGGGGGGGUCCCCGUGCCCGCUGCCCUCCCCGGGGGCCGGGCAUCCCCGCAGGGGCGGCGCGGGCUUCCCCUGUUAGCCUCGGGGGUUCUCGAGGGCGCAGGCAGGGGGCACUGCCAGCGGCCAAGCUCCCGUCCCCGGCCGCCCCCUCCCCCCGGAUGCCAGGCUCAUUCCGCCCGCAGAGGGUGGGGGAGGGGGCGGAGGAAGGGGCAGGAGCAGGCCGGCCUCGGAGCUGCCGGGAGGAGGCACGUGUUCGCUUAUUAUGAUGUUUUUCGCGAGGGGCUCCUGGGGGCAGGGGCUCCCGGGGGCAGGGGCUCCGUACCCUUCCUCUCCCUUGGCACGCGCGGGGCAGUCACUCGGAAAGGGGAGCGCCCCUUCCCGGCGCGUGGGGGGGUGGGGAAGGGGGGGCGCGCCGGGAAUUCCCGCCCGCGCGCCCCGACCCCCGCCGCCGGGCCUGCAGGGCCUGCCCGGCCCGCGAGCGCGCUCCCCGCGCCCCGCCCGGCGGCGCGCCGCUCAUGCAUAUGCAAACAGCCCCAGGCUCCCCGGGCUCUGGCACGGGCAGCCUCCCCUCCGCCCGAGAGGGGAGAGUUGUUUAAAAACCCGGGGCUUCCCAUUGGCCCUCGCGGCUCCACCCUAUGCAAAUGA